RNAcentral lists this long non-coding RNA (4659 nucleotides) under Equus asinus (donkey). Its description in RNAcentral is "lncRNA (ENSEASG00005033524.1)". The record is from RNAcentral. Lineage: Eukaryota; Metazoa; Chordata; Mammalia; Perissodactyla; Equidae.
GUUUAAAUUAUAAGACUCUGAGGCACUGAAAAAAUCAGUUUAUUAGAAUUCGGCAUUAGUAUACCUUAAAAGAAACUAACACUCAGAAGCAAAGAAAGCCUGAGAAAAACAAAUCUAGUCACAGAUACAUCUUGCUAAUAUUCUUUUUCAUUUUCAAUAGUCCUUCAGCAUUUGCUUAUGCCACUGCUUGAAAUCAUUAUACUUAACUUUAAAUGUUAGAAUUUAAAAAAGCAAAGUCAGCAGAAAUUUAGAGCCUCUGGAAUCACAGAUUUCCUAAAAAAUUGAGAUCCUUUGUCUAAAGAGAGGGAGUAUAUGUUUUAUAAGUUCAUCAUCACUGACUUGAAAUAUGUUCAGAACUUUCCAGGUGACAUAAUGCAUUUUUAAGGAAGUCAAUUCUUUUUCUGAUUAGAGAUUCACAAAUUUCUAAACACACUACCACCGUGUGGUAUCAGUCAGAAUGAUGCCAGUACUUACCAUUUGAAGAAAUGGCUUUCAGUGUCGACAUCACUUUUAAGUCCCAUAUUCUUUCCUGGCCUUGUCGCAAAGCAGAGCUGAAUUAAACUAACUUAUAUACAAAUGGUUCAUUUGCAAUUUCCAACCCCAUGGGCUUCAAACUGUCUCCCUAUACUAAUGAGAAUCGUAUUCACUUCUGGCUACGUUGUAUUUGUGUCUUCAGUGGCUGACUCAUUCCACACUCUACUCAUGUAGCUUAUCAUUAUCUUGUCCACAGACAAAACACACAAUGAAUUCAGAUGAGAAUGGCCCACUGACUUGAGAAUCUGGAGGAAGCACAAAGUGGAAAACACAAACAACAUCAACAGCAAAUUACAGCAACUCCUUGCAAUGUAUUUCCCUUAGUAGUUUAUUUUCUUUUUGGAUUAUUUUUCGUAAAAAUUGGCAAAAUCCAGAACAACUUUGUACAUUGUUCUAACAGCUUCAUUGAACGAUAAUUUUAUGACUCACUUCUCCACUUAAUAGAAACUUCUCGCUUUCUCUUACGUUUAUUAAUUUUGAAACUGCUUACCAUUUGUCUAAUUAACUGCACUCUGAACAAAGAAAUAAACUGAUUCGAGCGUGUUCUUCAUACGAAAAUGAGCAACAGAGACCUUUCUUAUUGAACAUCCUCACUUUCUACCUCAAGACAGGUGUUCUGCAUAUAUGCAAAUACUGCAGACAGAAGGCUUCCUAUGUUUUAAGCACUAUAAUAUUAAGACCUUUCCCCCUUAUUAUAACAUUCCCAAAAUUAUCAGUGCCACCUCUGCUUAUCUACAUUUUAAAAAUAUUUAACCUUCAGUAAGAUCAUCUGUUGUGCUGAUAUCAAAGUAAGGAGAGAAAACAACUCAGAUAUUCUAUCAAGUUCAACCAAAACUUCCUGCUUCCCUUAGUUGCCACAAUUCUGGACCUAGACUCCAAGUUUAUAAAAGAAAAUGAAAAAAAAUUCACAAGGCAGAGCUUCAAGUUAUCAUAAUAUCUUAGAAGGAUGUUAGUUAUUUUAUGCCCAGAACAUUUUACAAGCUCCAAAACCUUCACUAGAACAAUAUUUUAGGAAUCUGAAAUUAUUUCUGCACUUCUCACCACCCAAGAAUCUGACAGCUUGUAUUAAAAAUAGUAUGUAUGCAGGAACUCCCUGGUUACUAUCUCCCUUAAGUUUUAAGGCACUCAAAUCAUUGAGUCUUCUUUCUAAGAAUUACGGAAGAGGCUGAAGAAAACGCAUAUCAAAUUCAUCAUGUGUAAUUUUCUCACUAAAAUCAAUCGAUUUCUGUUAGUACCAUAUAUUAGGACUAAUUAAAAUUACCAUAUCCAGCAGCCAGUCUGUACCUUUCCAGAUAUCCUUCUCCAGUAUCCAUAACCACGCACUGCUCUGUCUUCCAUCAUGCUUCUUUUAUUGCUGAGUGAGGCGCUCGCUCCUUCAUUAAAUAGCAUUAAAAAUAGACUGCACAGAACUCCCCAGUGGAGCAUGCUCGAACAGGGCUAAUGCCAUAGUUCUCAAGGUAACCAUACUCAGCUGGGAUCUAAGAGGGAAAGCCACUGGGAGAUCAGCAAUUUGCGAAUCUAAUAGCGCACACGAACCUGUCUCGGUCUGAUCUGAAUACUAUAGGAGAGAAAUCAGUGUGUAGUGAAAUUAAGUCACCGAGAAGCUGAAAGUCAAUUUCUGGAGCUAUAUGAGUUUCUUUAAAUAUCCCUCACCUAAACAAAGUACUCUGUUAAACAGGCGUUUAUCUACAGCAACUUAGUUAUAUUAUUUAUCAAAUAACAUAACUCAUGUCUAGAAAGGGCACAGUAUGACAUGUAUGCAUAGCAGUCUAAAUGUCUUAAAAAUUGCAUUUAAACCAAAUCAUAAUAGUAUUGAUAAGCAAAGACAGUCAUAGGUUAGCCUCAUAUCUUUUGUGAUAAGGAAGUGUAUUCCUUAAAGAAUACACUAAACUCACUUUCCAGAAAAUUUAAAAAUAUUCUACUAGUGGAAGUGAUCCAAAGAAAUAAAAGAAAGUGAUAAGAAAGGAAAUACAGCAUCGAACACAAAUACAUACCUUAAAAAUCCAUAUAAACCUGAGAAGGGUGCAUACAUAAUUUCCCACAUGCGAUCCACAUUAGAAGUGCAACAGAAGCAGAAACAAUUACCGUGAAGAUAGUCGAUUACUGAACUAUUUGAACAAAACAUAGCUAGAGCUCUCAGCUUCCAAAUGACUGCCUUUUGUGAAAAUGACAUUAACUAAAAUCCUAUUAAGACAUGCAAGCCCUGUGGUAACACAAAUACAGAGGAUCAGAGGACUAGGUGCAUUUAUUUUAAAGUAUGUGUCAAAGGUUUUCUAACUUUUACCAAAUGAAAAAAUGAUUUCCUGUCGCCUCUAUUUCUGUUUUCUUCAAACAAUCACAGCAAUUUCGACCACCAAAGUGGAUGAAGAGGUGGGAAUCAUUUGGCUUUCUUCAGUAUUUGAAUGAACGCUUGUACAGAUUCAUUUUAACUUUGGGGGAAUGUCAUUCUUGUUUGGAGAAGCUGAACUGUCAUACCAAGAGAUUAAAAAAAAAUCAGAAAUCGAAAUAGCUAUCUGCACUCUAAACACAUGCUCAUGAACGUGAUUUCUCCCAGCCUGGCAUUGUACUUACUAGCUUCACAUCCCUCUAACUUUCAAUUUCCUCUUUGUUUUUCCUCUUGGGUUUGGACUGUUCUUAUCCGGUAUCUUCGGAAGGUGAUCGAGAACUGAACCUGAGCAGCUGUCAGUAACCACAUCCACUCCAGCUCUGUUGCUAUGCAUAAACACUGAAUGAGUCAAUUUUUCUUCCUAGGAAACUUUCUAAACACCUGUCUAAUUCAACUCAAUUCUAUCCCCAUAUCUACAACCUGAGCCAGAUGACAUUAAAUUGGAGGUUGCAAUGAAACACGGAUAUCAAACAUGUAAAACUAAAGCUGAACAUCUUCUUUUUCCCCUUAACCCCCUGGGAGGCAGGACCCCAACUCCUCUGAGGACAACAAACAUAACUUUUUGCCUCUUACAUAACUCUCUUUCAAAUGAAAUAAGAGCAUUCUAAAGUUUCGACCAUGAAACCUGCAUAAAUCAUUGUAGACUUCUCCGAUGAAAACAACUGCCCUUUUCAAUUCUCUUCCAGGUUUCCAUUUCGGCCUCAUUUGGGGGAGGGGGAGUUUACCCCUCCUUUGACGAAACACAAAAACACAAUACAUAUAUAACAACAGCUUUCUACAGACACGAAGGAGAAAUACAGACGAGAAACAAUUGCAAAGAAAAGCACAGAUACACGGCAGAAAGGAGGAGAAAAUAAAUCACAAAAGGCGUGCAAUGUUCACGUCGGAAGACCUUGAUUAUUACCUUGACCGAACAGUGGAUAUCCCCCCAGCGUCUUGGUGCCUUGAUUGAUUUGAUUUAGUUUUUGGCUUUUAUUAAUAUUAUUAUUUCUCAAUGAUUGAUUUGGCUGGAUUUGUUUGGUUUGGCUUGGCUUUUUUUUUUUUUUUGGUCGAUUUAUUUAACUGCUGGUAAACGAGCUUUCUGCAGCGUCGGCUGGGAUCCUCGCAGGGCUGUGGCGGCCAAGGCUGCGGCGACGGUGGUGGCUUCGGCUGGCGACCCUACUGCCCCUGCUGCUUGUCGCAGCUCCGGACGCGCUCAGGGGGAGCCGCCGCCGCCUUCUCUGCCCGGCUGGCUGCAGGGAGUGAACGUGCCCCCACCUCCUGUCUGCCAGUCUGUCCCUCUGCACGUCUGUUUGUCUGACCGUCUGUGGCUCAGCCUGGCAGCUCAGCGCGGGAUUCUAGCUUUCCUGCGCUCCGCUCUCCGAGCUGCCACUCUCGCUGGCUGUCAGUCCGUGCAUAAGUCAAUCUGUCCGUCCCUCCGCGUCUCGGUCCGCCUAGCGAUGCAGGGUCCCUCUUCCCGUCUUCUGAGCCCGCAUCUCUCUCCCUCUCCCACCAGUGUCCCGGUUGCUUCCCUCGGACAGAGGAGGGCGUCUGGAAGGGAGGGAGCACGCGAGUGCUACGCUCUCUCUCUUUUUCUCACACACUCUCUCUCUCUUUCGUUCUCUCUCUCCCUCUCUCUGCGUUCCAGUCUCCCUGUCUCAAGCUGUCUAACUGCUCCCACCUGUCCGUUGCUCUGUCACUCCUACCCUGAGCCAGCCAGCCUCGGUCCGUCCCUCGGUCCCUCGUCCCCUGCCUCCCCG